Molecule: ribosomal RNA, 253 nt
Filed under: uncultured bacterium
Lineage: Bacteria
Description: partial 16S ribosomal RNA
Rfam family: Bacterial small subunit ribosomal RNA
Source: RNAcentral
UACAGAGGUCUCAAGCGUUGUUCGGAUUCAUUGGGCGUAAAGGGUGCGUAGGCGGCGCGGUAAGUCGGGUGUGAAAUCUCGGAGCUUAACUCCGAAACUGCAUUCGAUACUGCCGUGCUUGAGGACUGGAGAGGAGACUGGAAUUUACGGUGUAGCGGUGAAAUGCGUAGAUAUCGUAAGGAAAACCAGUGGCGAAGGCGGGUCUCUGGACAGUUCCUGACGCUGAGGCACGAAGGCCAGGGGAGCAAACGGG